AGAGAGAGAGAGAGAGAGAGAGAGAGAGAGAGAGGUCAAAAACUAAAAUAUCUAAUGUUUAUUUUCUUUUUCUCUCACCCAAUCUUUAUCUAUCUCCCUAUUCCCUCCCUUUCUUUAUCUCAUGAGUAUGCCCGCGUGGGAGAGGGUAUCGCUGGGUAUAUACUCCAGAAAAUCGCUCCGUUUAACACACAUUCAGGACUGUUUAAUCUGUCUUUUCUUCGCUAAACAGUACAAACAAUGAGCCACCUUGUCAUGUAUUAAUUCGCCUAUAUCGAUAUUUAAACCCAAUACAAAAGCUUACUUAAUCGGGUUGCAAGAUAGCCUAAUAUAUCCCUUCCGUAAAUCGCAAUGUUCAAGGCAAUUCUCGACAUCUAGAACUCCUUAGCCUGUCUUCCCUUCCUUAAACAAAAGAAAUAGUAAUAAUGAGUCACCUUGUCAUGUAUUAAUUCGCCUAUAUCGAUACUUAAACCCAAUACAAAAGCUUACUUAAUCGGGUUGCAGGAUAGCCUAAUAUAUCCCUUCCGUCAAAUCUCUAUGUUCUAGGUAAUUCUCAGUAUCUAGAACGCUUUACCCUGUCUUGUCUUCCCUAAACAAAAGAAACAGUAAUAAUAAACCACCUUGUCAUGUAUUAAUUCGCCUAUAUCGAUAUUUAAACCCAAUACAAAAGGUUACUUAAUCGGGUUGCAAGAUAGACUAAUAUAUCCCUUCCGUAAAUCUCAAUGUUCUAGGUAAUUCUUGGCAUCUAGAACGCUUUACCCUGUCUUGUCUUCCCUAAACAAAAGAAAUAGUAAUAAUAAACUCCCUUGUCAUGUAUUAAUUCGCCUAUAUCGAUACUUAAACCCAAUACAAGAGGUUACUUAAUCGGGUUGCAGGAUAGCCUAAUAUAUCCCUUCCGUCAAAUCUCAAUGUUCUAGGUAAUUCUCAGCAUCUAGAACGCUUUGCCCUGUCUUGUCUUCCCUAAACAUAAGAAAUAAUAAUAAUAAACUCCCCUGUCAUGUAUUAAUUCGCCUAUAUCGACACUUAAACCCAAUACAAAAGGUUACUUAAUCGUGUUGCAGGAUAGCCUAAUAUAUCCCUUCCGUAAAUCGCAAUGUUCUAGGUAAUUCUCGACAUCUAGAACUCCUUAGCCUGUCUUGUCUUCCCUAUACAUAAGAAAUAGUAAUAAUAAACUCCCUUGUCAUGUAUUAAUUCGCCUAUAUCGAUACUUAAACCCAAUACAAAAGUUUACUUAAUCGGGUUGCAAGAUAGCCUAAUAUAUCCCUUCCGUCAAAUCUCAAUGUUCUAGGUAAUUCUCAGCAUCUAGAACGCUUUACCCUGUCUUGUCUUCCCUAAACAAAAGAAAUAGUAAUAAUAAACCACCUUGUCAUGUAUUAAUUCGCCUAUAUCGAUACUUAAACCCAAUACAAAAAGUUACUUAAUCGGGUUGCAAGAUAGCCUAAUAUAUCCCUUCCGUCAAAUCUCUAGGUAAUUCUCAGCAUCUAGAACGCUUUCCCCUGUCUUGUCUUCCCUAAACAUAAGAAAUAGUAAUAAUAAACCACCUUGUCAUGUAUUAAUUCGCCUAUAUCGAUAUUUAAACCCAAUACAAAAGGUUACUUAAUCGGGUUGCAAGAUAGCUUAAUAUAUCCCUUCCGUCAAAUCUCUAUAUUCUAGGUAAUUCUCAGCAUCUAGAACUCCUUA
Molecule: long non-coding RNA, 1677 nt
Organism: Eriocheir sinensis (Chinese mitten crab)
Lineage: Eukaryota; Metazoa; Arthropoda; Malacostraca; Decapoda; Varunidae
Exons: 3
Source: RefSeq, a predicted model, not a curated record